UGCAAAGGUAGCGCAAUCAAUUGUCCCAUAAAUCGAGACUAGUAUGAAUGGCUAAACGAGGUCUUAACUGUCUCUUGCAGGCAAUCGGUGAAAUUGAUCUCCCUGUGCGAAAGCAGGGAUAAACCCAUAAGACGAGAAGACCCUGUGGAACUUCAAAAACAGCGGCCACCCCAAAAUACAUACACACCCACUGGGCUCACUUAUACACUAAGCCACUGGCCCGCGUUUUUCGGUUGGGGCGACCUUGGAGAAAAACAAAUCCUCCAAAAAUUAGACCAACCCUCUAGACUGAGAGCAACCCCUCAACGUGCUAAUAGCAACCAGACCCAAUAUAAUUGAUCUAUGGACCAAGCUACCCCAGGGAUAACAGCGCAAUCUCCCCCGAGAGUCCGUAUCGACAGGGAGGUUUACGACCUCGAUGUUGGAUCAGGACAUCCUAGUGGUGCAGCCGCUACUAA
This 458-nucleotide ribosomal RNA is filed under the name Acridotheres tristis (common myna). RNAcentral's name for it is "partial 16S ribosomal RNA". It matches the Rfam family "Archaeal large subunit ribosomal RNA", at positions 2026 to 2637 of the family's 2987-position model. Lineage: Eukaryota; Metazoa; Chordata; Aves; Passeriformes; Sturnidae. The record is from RNAcentral.